GAAUUUCUUCAGGUUGGAGAAUGAGCAUCUGAACAAUGUAGGAAAAUAUCGUGCAUUCAAGUCAGUACCACUACCUUUCAACUAUGACGAGGAUGAUGACAAAGAUGAAUAGCUAUCCUUUUGUCAACAUUUGAUAAAACCAGAGGAUAUAACACAGAAAACUAAGAAAAGUCGUACCGAAAACUCUUUUGACGGGUGAAAAAGUAAAGGAAAAUAACCAAACCAGGUUCAUUUUUGACAAUCGACAGAAACAAAAGAGAAAAAACAAGAACAAUGUUCAUUGAACCCAAUUUUCGGAAUGAUUUGUAUUCUUUAUUUUCUAUGUAUAGCCGCUAUUAUUUUGAUUUUUGGCUUCU
This 356-nucleotide unclassified non-coding RNA is filed under the name Hevea brasiliensis (rubber tree). The record is from RNAcentral. Lineage: Eukaryota; Viridiplantae; Streptophyta; Magnoliopsida; Malpighiales; Euphorbiaceae.